UAGGGAAUCUUCGGCAAUGGGGGCAACCCUGACCGAGCAACGCCGCGUGAGUGAAGAAGGUUUUCGGAUCGUAAAGCUCUGUUGUAAGUCAAGAACGGGUGUGAGAGUGGAAAGUUCACACUGUGACGGUAGCUUACCAGAAAGGGACGGCUAACUACGUGCCAGCAGCCGCGGUAAUACGUAGGUCCCGAGCGUUGUCCGGAUUUAUUGGGCGUAAAGCGAGCGCAGGCGGUUUGAUAAGUCUGAAGUUAAAGGCUGUGGCUCAACCAUAGUUCGCUUUGGAAACUGUCAAACUUGAGUGCAGAAGGGGAGAGUGGAAUUCCAUGUGUAGCGGUGAAAUGCGUAGAUAUAUGGAGGAACACCGGUGGCGAAAGCGGCUCUCUGGUCUGUAACUGACGCUGAGGCUCGAAAGCGUGGGGAGCGAACAGGAUUAGAUACCCUGGUAGUCCACGCCGUAAACGAUGAGUGCUAGGUGUUGGAUCCUUUCCGGGAUUCAGUGCCGCAGCUAACGCAUUAAGCACUCCGCCUGGGGAGUACGACCGCAAGGUUGAAACUCUAAAGUGAAUU
This 567-nucleotide ribosomal RNA is filed under the name uncultured bacterium. RNAcentral describes it as "partial 16S ribosomal RNA". It matches the Rfam family "Bacterial small subunit ribosomal RNA", at positions 355 to 911 of the family's 1533-position model. The record is from RNAcentral.